Long non-coding RNA from Pundamilia nyererei, 900 nucleotides. RefSeq lists it as uncharacterized. The record is from RefSeq and is a predicted model, not a curated record. The transcript is spliced from 3 exons. NCBI's taxonomy places the organism in Eukaryota, Metazoa, Chordata, Actinopteri, Cichliformes, Cichlidae.
GAGAGACGAAGAAGAAGCAGGAGGAGGAGGAGGCAGAGGGAGAGGAGGAGUAUGACGAAGAGGAGUUCGAGGAGGAGACGGAUUACAUCAUGUCAUACUUUGAUAACGGCGAGGAUUUUGGCGGCGACAGCGAUGACAACAUGGACGAGGCUAUUUACUAAAGCACCAGCACACAUGACUUCCAGUCACAUGUUCCUGCGGUCUGACCGAAGUCGAGUCAGACCGACGACGAUGAUGAUGAUGAUGAUGAUGAGACUUUUUCUGAAUGUUUUUAAACUUUUGUACAAAAUGUAAUCAGUUUUAUUUUCUGCUGCUGGACCAAUAAAAACAGCACGUCUCACACACGCUCUGUAAGCAUUUCAGGGAACGUUCCUCCUGGAACCAGCUGAUCGUGACAGGAAGCAGCAGCUGGUCUGAGGAGGACCAUCGUUACACUCGUGCCUGUGGUAAAACAAAAACUAGUAACACACAGCAACAACAACAGCAUCUGGUAACAUCUAGCACCCAGGCCUCACAGUCAGAGGACAUGCACAGCUGUGGAGGAGCGUCAUAUCAAAAUAGACGGAGGGACAUCGUCAUUAGGAAAGGAGAGACUGAGGUCAGAUGAAUGGCUGCUUUCACCAUGAGGCACUCGCUGUGUUUCAGGGGAAGGAUGCUCAAAAUGCCAUAUUUGGAGGCAAUGACGUCACAGCAACGCGACGAAGGCUGUCCGAAUUCAAAGAGCGACAAAUGCGUCCUACUUUUACCCAAAUGUUAAGGAUGGGUCCGAUGUAUCCUUCGUGUCCUACUAUAUCCCAGGAUUCAUUGCGGGUCAUACAGGAGAUUUGUUCCUGAUAACGAUGGUGGUCGAAGAGGAAAACACUUUCAAAUACGCACAACUACAACAAGGGAAAGACCCAG